UACGGGAGGCAGCAGUGGGGAAUAUUGCACAAUGGGCGAAAGCCUGAUGCAGCUAUGCCGCGUGUAUGAAGAAGGCCUUAGGGUUGUAAAGUACUUUCAUCGGGGAGGAAAAACAAAACUAAUAAUUUUAUUUCUUGACGUUACCCGAAAAAGAAGCACCGGCUAACUCCGUGCCAGCAGCCGCGGUAAUACGGAGGGUGCUAGCGUUAAUCAGAAUUACUGGGCGUAAAGAGCACGUAGGUGGUUUUUUUAAGUCAGAUGUGAAAUCCCUGGGCUUAACCUGGAAACUGCAUUUUGAAACUAAAUACUAGAGUAUCGUAGAGGGAGGUAGAAUUCUAGGUGUAGCGGUGAAAUGCGUAGAUAUCUGGAGGAAUACCUGUGGCGAAAGCGGCCUCCUAAACGAAUACUGACACUGAGGGUGCGAAAGCGUGGGGAGCAAACAGGGAUUAGAUACC
This 455-nucleotide ribosomal RNA is filed under the name uncultured bacterium. RNAcentral's name for it is "bacterial SSU rRNA". It matches the Rfam family "Bacterial small subunit ribosomal RNA", at positions 340 to 786 of the family's 1533-position model. The record is from RNAcentral.